AGGAUAAACGCUGGCGGCGUGCCUAACACAUGCAAGUCGAACGCCCUUUUGCUCGCAAGAGCCAGAGGGAGUGGCGGACGGGUGAGUAACACAUGGGUAACCUACCCCACAGUGAGGAAUACCGGCGAGAAAUCGCCGACAAGACCGCAUAGGCUCGGUCCGGUGAAGCGGACCGCGCAAAGUCUCGCAAGAGACGCUGAGGGAUGGGCCUGUGGCCGAUUAGCUGGUUGGUAAGGUAAAGGCUUACCAAGGCGACGAUCGGUAGCUGGUCUGAGAGGACGAACAGCCACACUGGGAUUGAGAACGGCCCAGACUCCUACGGGGGGCAGCAGUGAGGAAUUUUCCGCAAUGGACGCAAGUCUGACGGAGCAACGCCGCGUGCAGGAGGACGCUUUUCGGAGUGUAAACUGCUUUUCUGUGGGACGAGCGAGGACGGUACCACAGGAAGAAGCCCCGGCUAACUACGCGCCAGCAGCCGC
RNAcentral lists this ribosomal RNA (479 nucleotides) under uncultured bacterium. RNAcentral's name for it is "SSU rRNA". It matches the Rfam family "Bacterial small subunit ribosomal RNA", at positions 26 to 518 of the family's 1533-position model. The record is from RNAcentral.